RNAcentral lists this ribosomal RNA (465 nucleotides) under uncultured bacterium. RNAcentral's name for it is "partial 16S ribosomal RNA". It matches the Rfam family "Bacterial small subunit ribosomal RNA", at positions 28 to 507 of the family's 1533-position model. The record is from RNAcentral.
GACGAACGCUGGCGGCGUGCUUAACACAUGCAAGUCGAACGGUAAGGCUCCAGCUUGCUGGGGUACACGAGUGGCGAACGGGUGAGUAACACGUGGGUGACCUGCCCUGCACUUCGGGAUAAGCCUGGGAAACUGGGUCUAAUACCGGAUAGGACUGCACCGUGAGGGGGUGGUGGAAAGUUUUUUCGGUGUGGGCUGGGCCCGCGGCCUAUCAGCUUGUUGGUGGGGUAAUGGCCUACCAAGGCGGCGACGGGUAGCCGGCCUGAGAGGGUGGACGGCCACAUUGGGCCUGAGACACGGCCCAGACUCCUACGGGAGGCAGCAGUGGGGAAUAUUGCACAAUGGGCGGAAGCCUGAUGCAGCGACGCCGCGUGGGGGAUGACGGCCUUCGGGUUGUAAACUCCUUUCACCAUCGACGAAGGGUUUCUGACGGUAGAUGGAGAAGAAGCACCGGCUAACUACGUG